CCUGGCGGCCUUAGCGCGGUGGUCCCACCUGACNCCAUGCCGAACUCAGAAGUGAAACGCCGUAGCGCCGAUGGUAGUGUGGGGUCUCCCCAUGCGAGAGUAGGGAACUGCCAGGC
Molecule: ribosomal RNA, 116 nt
Filed under: Escherichia coli
Lineage: Bacteria; Pseudomonadati; Pseudomonadota; Gammaproteobacteria; Enterobacterales; Enterobacteriaceae
Source: RNAcentral